This 473-nucleotide ribosomal RNA is filed under the name Enterobacter bugandensis. RNAcentral describes it as "partial 23S ribosomal RNA". It matches the Rfam family "Bacterial large subunit ribosomal RNA", at positions 1273 to 1746 of the family's 2925-position model. The record is from RNAcentral. Lineage: Bacteria; Pseudomonadati; Pseudomonadota; Gammaproteobacteria; Enterobacterales; Enterobacteriaceae.
CUGGAGGUAUCAGAAGUGCGAAUGCUGACAUAAGUAACGAUAAAGCGGGUGAAAAGCCCGCUCGCCGGAAGACCAAGGGUUCCUGUCCAACGUUAAUCGGGGCAGGGUGAGUCGACCCCUAAGGCGAGGCCGAAAGGCGUAGUCGAUGGGAAACAGGUUAAUAUUCCUGUACUUGGUGUUACUGCGAAGGGGGGACGGAGAAGGCUAUGUCAGCCGGGCGACGGUUGUCCCGGUUUAAGCGUGUAGGUGUGUGUUCCAGGCAAAUCCGGUUCACUUUAACACUGAGGCGUGAUGACGAGGCACUACGGUGCUGAAGUGAUAAAUGCCCUGCUUCCAGGAAAAGCCUCUAAGCAUCAGGUAACACGAAAUCGUACCCCAAACCGACACAGGUGGUCAGGUAGAGAAUACCAAGGCGCUUGAGAGAACUCGGGUGAAGGAACUAGGCAAAAUGGUGCCGUAACUUCGGGAGAAGG